Long non-coding RNA from Vanessa tameamea, 678 nucleotides. RefSeq lists it as uncharacterized. The record is from RefSeq and is a predicted model, not a curated record. NCBI's taxonomy places the organism in Eukaryota, Metazoa, Arthropoda, Insecta, Lepidoptera, Nymphalidae. The transcript has 3 exons.
GCGUGAUUUUCUUAAAACAUAACAAUAUAUUUUUGGUAUCUCGGGCAUACUAUAGAGCAUAACAUAAUUUUGAAUGUCAUAAAAGUUGUUUAAUUCAAUUUUUUAUUUUUUGAACAUAAUAUUGAAAAAUACCCUCACUGAUUCGAAUUCCAUAAAUUUGAAUUCAAUGAACAUUAACUUAGGGAAACGGGAAUGGUUCAAGAUGUCUACACCAGCUUUACGAAAACCUAAAUUUUUAAAAGGAUCGGAUAAAAAGAAUGUUGUUGAUCAACAGUUUAUAAUAUUAACUUUAAAGAACGGAAUGAAAUUAGUGGUAUCCUCAGACAGUUUCCAUGGAAUUCUCAUGAUAGGAAAAACAUAUCGGUGCGUGUUAUGUGACGUGGAAAUAGAGCAUGCAUUCAAAGAACAUCAUAAGAGUUUAGUUGAACACAAAAAGUUAUUAAACAAAUUUCCAUAUGUUACAGAAUUUUCUGAAAAUUUAAUAAGACAGAUAAUGGUUUUAUUAAGAUACAUAUCACCAAGUUGAUAUUAGUGACCCAUCUCGGCACCGCGCGGAUAAACAAAAUAAAUUGUUAUUGCACAAUUUGUAAUGUAACCAUGGGAUCUGUAUCAGUAAUGCUUCAUAUUAGGACAGACGAACAUAUCCACGAACUUAACAGAGCCAUUUUAAGAGCUGAC